RNAcentral lists this ribosomal RNA (131 nucleotides) under Escherichia coli. Its description in RNAcentral is "partial 23S ribosomal RNA". It matches the Rfam family "Bacterial large subunit ribosomal RNA", at positions 2812 to 2925 of the family's 2925-position model. The record is from RNAcentral. Lineage: Bacteria; Pseudomonadati; Pseudomonadota; Gammaproteobacteria; Enterobacterales; Enterobacteriaceae.
UCCCUGACUCCCUGAGAGUCCUGAAGGAACGUUGAAGACGACGACGUUGAUAGGCCGGGUGUGUAAGCGCAGCGAUGCGUUGAGCUAACCGGUACUAAUGAACCGUGAGGCUUAACCUUACAACGCCGAAG